GGCCGCUUAGCCCAGUGGUAGUGCGUCUGACUACGACUACAACAUUAGUCAUCAGGAGGUCGUGGGUUCGAGCCCCAUAGUGGUCG
Molecule: transfer RNA, 86 nt
Filed under: Tilletia controversa (dwarf bunt fungus)
Lineage: Eukaryota; Fungi; Basidiomycota; Exobasidiomycetes; Tilletiales; Tilletiaceae
Rfam family: tRNA
About the family: Transfer RNA (tRNA) molecules are approximately 80 nucleotides in length. Their secondary structure includes four short double-helical elements and three loops (D, anti-codon, and T loops).
Source: Rfam by way of RNAcentral